Molecule: ribosomal RNA, 253 nt
Filed under: uncultured bacterium
Lineage: Bacteria
Description: partial 16S ribosomal RNA
Rfam family: Bacterial small subunit ribosomal RNA
Source: RNAcentral
UGCAGACGGUGCAAGCGUUGCUCGGAUUUACUGGGCGUAAAGCGUGCGCAGACGGCUAAGCAAGUUGGACGUGAAAGCCUGGGGCUCAACCCCAGAAUUGCGCUCAAUACUACUUGGCUCGAGUAUGGGAGAGGGAAGUGGAAUUCCUGGUGUAGAGGUGAAAUUCGUAGAUAUCAGGAGGAACACCGGCGGCGAAGGCGGCUUCCUGGCCCAUUACUGACGUUCAGGCACGAAAGCGUGGGGAGCAAACAGG